AACGAACGCUGGCGGCAUGCCUAACACAUGCGAGUCGAACGAGACCUUCGGGUCUAGUGGCGCACGGGUGCGUAACGCGUGGGAACCUGCCCUUAGGUUCGGAAUAACUCCCCGAAAGGGGUGCUAAUACCGGAUAAUGUCUUCGGACCAAAGAUUUAUCGCCUUUGGAUGGGCCCGCGUUGGAUUAGCUAGUUGGUAGGGUAAAAGCCUACCACGGCGACGAUCCAUAGCUGGUCUGAGAGGAUGAUCAGCCACACUGGGACUGAGACACGGCCCAGACUCCUACGGGAGGCAGCAGUGGGGAAUAUUGGACAAUGGGCGAAAGCCUGAUCCAGCAAUGCCGCGUGAGUGAUGAAGGCCUUAGGGUUGUAAAGCUCUUUUACCCGGGAUGAUAAUGACAGUACCGGGAGAAUAAGCUCCGGCUAACUCCGUG
RNAcentral lists this ribosomal RNA (433 nucleotides) under uncultured bacterium. Its description in RNAcentral is "partial 16S ribosomal RNA". It matches the Rfam family "Bacterial small subunit ribosomal RNA", at positions 29 to 507 of the family's 1533-position model. The record is from RNAcentral.